AUGAACGCUGGCGGCGUGUCUAAGGCAUGCAAGUCGUAAGUGGUAGCAAUACCAACUUGGCAAACGGGAGAGGAACACAUUGGCAACAUACCUUGAGGUCGAGAAUAAUCCCGCGAAAGCGGGAAUAAUACUCGAUGGGAGCGGGGGGACAAAAGUCAUUCCCGCUUAAAUUCGCCGCAAGGCGAAGCCUUAAGAGUGGCCUAUGUCCUAUCAGCUUGUUGGUGAGGUAACGGCUCACCAAGGCUAUGACGGGUACCGGGUGUGAGAGCAUGACCCGGCUCACUGGGACUGAGACACUGCCCAGACUCCUACGGGAGGCUGCAGUCAAGAAUAUUCGUCAAUGGGCGAAAGCCUGAACGAGCGACGCCGCGUGUAUGAUGAAGCCCUUCGGGGCGUAAAGUACUUUUAACUGGGAAGAACCAAUGACGGUACCAGUUGAAUAAGGGGCUGCUAACUUCGU
RNAcentral lists this ribosomal RNA (460 nucleotides) under uncultured bacterium. RNAcentral describes it as "bacterial SSU rRNA". It matches the Rfam family "Bacterial small subunit ribosomal RNA", at positions 29 to 506 of the family's 1533-position model. The record is from RNAcentral.